Molecule: ribosomal RNA, 468 nt
Filed under: uncultured bacterium
Lineage: Bacteria
Description: partial 16S ribosomal RNA
Rfam family: Bacterial small subunit ribosomal RNA
Source: RNAcentral
GGUGAACGCUGGCGGCGUGCUUAACACAUGCAAGUCGAACGGUGAAGGCGUAUCUUGCUCUGCUGGAUCAGGGGCGAACGGGUGAGUAACACGUUAGCAAUCUGCCCCUGACUCUGUGAUAAGCGCUAGAAACGUCGGCUAAGACUUGAUACGAUCUGCGAAGGCAUCUUCAGCAGCUGGAAAUAACUUCGGUCAGGGAUGAGCUCGCGGCCGAUCAGCUUGUUGGUGAGGUAACGGCUCACCAAGGCGUCGACGGGUAGCCGGCCUGAGAGGGUGACCGGCCACACUGGGACUGAGACAAGGCCCAGACUCCUCAGGGAGGCAGAAGUGGGGAAUAUUGCACAAUGGGCGACAGCGUGAUGCAGCAACGCCGCGUGAGGGACGACGGCUGUCGGGUUGUAAACCUCUUUUAGCAGGGAAGAAGCGAAAGUGACGGUACCUGCAGAAAAAGCGCCGGCUAACUACGUG